CCUAACACAUGCAAGUCGAGCGAGGACUUCGGUCCUAGCGGCGGACGGGUGAGUAACGCGUGGGAACGUGCCCCUUUCUACGGAAUAGCCCCGGGAAACUGGGAGUAAUACCGUAUAAGCCCUACGGGGGAAAGAUUUAUCGGGAAGGGAUCGGCCCGCGUUGGAUUAGGUAGUUGGUGGGGUAAUGGCCUACCAAGCCGACGAUCCAUAGCUGGUUUGAGAGGAUGAUCAGCCACACUGGGACUGAGACACGGCCCAGACUCCUACGGGAGGCAGCAGUGGGGAAUCUUUAGACCAAUGGGCGCAAGCCUGAUCUAGCCAUGCCGCGUGAGCGAUGAAGGCCUUAGGGUUGUAAAGCUCUUUCAGUGGGGAAGAUAAUGACUGUACCCACAGAAGAAGCCCCGGCUAACUCCGUG
Molecule: ribosomal RNA, 416 nt
Filed under: uncultured bacterium
Lineage: Bacteria
Description: bacterial SSU rRNA
Rfam family: Bacterial small subunit ribosomal RNA
Source: RNAcentral